AACUCUUAGCGGUGGAUCACUCGGCUCGUGCGUCGAUGAAGAACGCAGCUAGCUGCGAGAACUAAUGUGAAUUGCAGGACACAUUGAUCAUCGACCUUUCGAAGCGCACCUUGCGCCCCGGGUCCUCCCGGGGCUACGCCUGUCUGAGAGUCG
This is a ribosomal RNA of 153 nucleotides. It matches the Rfam family "5.8S ribosomal RNA". From Rfam's summary of the family: 5.8S ribosomal RNA (5.8S rRNA) is a component of the large subunit of the eukaryotic ribosome. It is transcribed by RNA polymerase I as part of the 45S precursor that also contains 18S and 28S rRNA. Functionally, it is thought that 5.8S rRNA may be involved in ribosome translocation. The record is from Ensembl.